AUAGUAUGUCUGAAACUACUUUCUUACUUUGUUUUCUGUAGCCAUAGCCCUCACUAGUCCAUGUAUUAAUACACUUAAUAAGUGAGCUAUAUCACUGUAUCCAAGCACUGUGCUUAAAUACUUAUACAUGUUUGGAAUUAGUUAAGCCUCAUAACAAUACUGUGACUUUAUGAGGAAACUGAGGCUUGGUAAGGCUAAAUAACUUGCCUAAUUUCUUACUAUUAAUAUAUGCUAGAAUCAAGACCUAGAUUUUUCAGAUCACUCUACUUAACCUCUAAGCUGAUAUGCAUUCAUCUGCUCAACCUCUGCCAGAUUCUGUAACUCAAGUCAUUGAGGGCAUAAGAAUCGAUGUUCCCAGUGUCAGUUCCAAUCACUUAUUUGUGCAGUAGUUUCUGUUAUCUCUUACAUCACAAUAAAAUGCCAAGUUCGGGCUUUAGAUUGUUCCUACCCAUCUCAUCUCAACCACUUUCUUUCUUCUUUUAACUAUCAGAGAAGGCCUUUUAAUGUGGAAUUCUCUUACUCACAUGAAUCAUCUUAUGUACCAUUUUUAACAAUGAAGCAUAUUAAAAUUCCAGGCUUCCAGGUAAAACAUUAUGCCCCAUCUUCCAACUUGCCCUUCUGUGUUCUCCACCAAGCAAUAUUAUGACUAUUGUUCAACUUAUCAUAUCUGUGAUUGUCCCUGCUGUGUUUGACUUACAAAUGACACUAGUUUUCUGUGACUUGGAUGAGAACACCAUUAUCAUCUACCUUAUAAAACAGUUUAACUUUAUUAUUAGACAUGCACAGUACCCCAUGGAUGAGGGAAGAGGUGAAGAGUAGAUAGAAGAAAGAAUUAAAUGUCUCCUGUGAGCUAUAAAGACAACCUCAGUUGGAAUUUCCUGAGAAGGGAAAAUAAAGAAGUUGGUAUACAUCGAGCUUCAUAGAUCUAAAAUAACUCUCUUUGCUGGAGAAUUGUGUAUUUUAGUAAGAGGUUUUAUUUUUUUUCUUCUGCCAGAUCUAUUUAACUUCUGAUUAACACCAUAUAGUCCAUACUCUCUUCACAGUCUUCAGCUAUUUCCUUUUUUCUGUAUGAUCUCUAGAACCCUGAUCUUUUCCCUUGACUUCAUCUCAUAAUUCUUGUACACGCCUCAUACCUCCCUUAAGUUCUCCUGCCAUCCUUCACUUUUUUUCUUACAUUUCUACCUUAAGUUUCUGGUCUGUCUACUAGCCCUAAAUUUCAUUAUUUUAAAAAUGUUUUUAAGAUUUUAAGAUAUAUAGAGUCCCUUGAGCAGGGACCUGUGCUGUCUUUGUCAGAACUCAGCAGGUAAAACAGUUACUCUGAUGCCAUGACAAUGCUUUAAUAAAAUUCUAGUAAAGGACUUAAGAGCCUUAAGGAUUAAAUUACUAUAUAAUCAUUUUUCCUAUACUAAGCAGUAUUGAAUAAAUAAACUGUUUCAUUAUUUUUAAAUCUGUUGGUGAAAUUAUAAUGUAAGAGAUUCUAAUAUUGGCUAUUAGUAGCCUGCAUAUAUACAUAUAAAUCACUUGAGAUCUUUAUUUGUAAUAAUGAUUUUUAAAAACAGGCUGAAGUCUCACACUCAUAGCAAAGGUGAGAGUUCUGCUAUUCCAAAGCUUGCUUUUGACAGAACCAUACUGUUAGGACUCUUAAUGUUAGGCCUUUGUUGCCAUGGAGACAGUAACAGGCUUUAAUAUUAUUUUUUAACAUAUACUGAAAAUAUGCAUACCCUAAGGUAUAAAGCGUGACUUAGUUGUCUGUUGGUUUUGAGUAUUGACACAUUUUGAAAAUAGUUUCUAUAUACUUUUAAUGCUUGAUUUUUAUCCUUCAAAGAAAAUGAAGGAGAUUUCUGACCAUUGUGAUAACAGAGUUGUAUAUUACUUGUCUUUUAGGAAUAACGUAGAAUCUCUUGUGAGUCAGUAAUGGAUGAGGACUUUGAAGAACAUGCAGAAACUUUUGAGAAAAGUAAUGUGAUCUUAGACACAUGUCUUGGCCGCCUAUGAUUAUGACACUAAUAUGUAAUACAAACAAAUCAAUUUCAGAUUCAACUAAUACUUUGUGCCAGUACUGUGCUAAGCACUGUCACCCUAUUAUAGUUUAUUUAAUAGAACUCAGUUUGAAAGCACCUAAGCAAUCCUCAUAUUUUAACUUUUACAAUAACUGAUUAUUCGAAUGUGUAUCAAUAGCAUUCCUGAAUUUUUCCUCCUAAAAAUUAGUAAAUAAAAUGUAUACAUACUUUCAAUAAGUAAAACUUUCAAUUCAUGAGUUAUACUUUAUUCCUUACAAGAAUGAAUGGAUUCCAUGGCAUGAGAUAUUAAUAUUCCAUAGGCAUCAUGAUUAAAUUGGUAACUAAAUCACAUGUCUUUAGCUUCUAGUGUCAAACUAGCAGGGCCUAGUUAAUACUUUAGUCCACCAGCAGUUUUGACUUCUUACAUUAAUAGCUGAGAAGUAAGGUAAUUGAUUUUCUUGUUAAGCUACGUAGAUUAAGCCUGAUGGCUUAUAUUUAAUCCUACUUAUGGUGUUUAUCAUGACCAAGUAUUAGAGUAGUUAUUUCUGGAUAACAAAAACCUUUUGAUUACAGUUAUUAUAAACAAAACCUUGAAACAUAGUCCUGUGCUUUCCUUAGUCAACAUCUGUAUUUAAUGGCAAAAGAAGCCAAAGUAAGAAAGCUCUUUGCUUUAUAAAGAGAGAGAAAUAAGGUAACAGACAAUCACAAUUUAUACUAAUAGUUUUGAAUAUUAGAUUUUAGCUUUUCCAGUUUUCAGUGACUUUUAACAAGACCCAUCUCCUCUAUGAAGAAUGCAGUUAGUUUUUUUUUUUUUUCUGGCUCAAAAAAUAGGGUAACCUGAUCUGAGUCUGACAGAGUGUGUCGUUCAUUUAAGUGCUUCCAUCUGUUGCCUGCUGUUCCCCUUACUCAUGACCCCUCUAUGUUUCUCUCUUUCCCUUUUUCCUUCUCUUUCCCUGUUUCUCUCCCUUCCUUUCUCUUUCUUUCUCUCUUGCUCUCUCUGUCUCUUGCUUGCUCUCUCUCUCUUUUUGUUCUUAGCCCCUCUGAGGAAGGCAAAGUUUGUUGAGAGCCCACGAAUUCCAGAAUCCGAGCUUGGCUCACCAACCCUCACUUCAGCUCAGAAACUGGACGUGGAUGCAUACUGCCCUGGUAAGCAUGCAUGCAAAGUGUCUGCUUUGAAAGAGGGAGGAUUGGAUCAGGCCCAUCCAGCAGAGCAGUGUUUUGCAUGUAUACUACUCAUAAAAACAUGUUACCUCUUUUGCAACUGAUUGCCUAUUCUUCUUAAUAGAACAUAGUUUUUACUGAAUGCCCUGUUUUGACUUUGAUACAAUAAUGAGAGUAAGUAUUGAAAAUAAUUUCAAAGGUAAUUUUCAAAAGAAUUAAAAUAAUUUUGGUAGAUAAGUAGUUUUAGGUAAGUAGGGUUACUUUUGUGAUUUGAGAUACUUAAAGAAAUUUUCCUGUGGCCAUGUGCAAACAGAAAUGUUGAAGAUGUGAAUAAGAAUAUUCAACACUAGACACAAAAGUGUUCUAUGCAACACUUUUGCAUACAGCCUUUAUGCCUAAUUCCUGUUGGAUUUCUGGUGAUUAUAGAAAAUACUUGUGAUGCUGGAAACAUUAAACUUGAAUUAGAAAAGAAAUAUAGGUUUCCGAGAUGGACUCCUUUUGGAUACAGAUACUUACUUUUAGAAAUACCUCUUGUGAAUGGCCUGUAAACACGUGAGAGUUCACUAAAACUCUUCUUGUGUGGGAGCCAAACUGAGAAAGACUCAUUAUCAAUGCUUAGAUUCUUUCAAACUUAGAUGAGUUGCCUGGCAACAUCCUUUACACUCUCUCUACAGUGAGUCUAUAGAGCUGUGUCAGAAAUGUUCACAGCUCUAGCUUAGUAUACAGAUUAGAGCAUUAGUAAAGGAAGGACCUUGGAAGACUUGGUUUUAGGUCUUUUGUUUAUUCCUGCUCAUUAAAAUUGAUGUUAAACCACAGUGAAUACAACUACUACAUAUUUACAGCAUGAGGGGUCAGCAGAGUAAAAUGAUUCCUAGUUCUGGGAAAGAUAUCAAUAUCUGUGAUCUGAAAUGUCAGUAUAAUAUACCUUCGAAGCCAGAUAAGACAUAGUAAAACAAAAAACAAAACAGUAGGAGAAAAUUUGGGCCAAAGCUCAUAAAAUGAGAGACGUUUCAUUUUAUGAGUCAAUUUUGAAUACUGAAAGACCUUGGGGAUUUUGCUUUCCUUCGGGGUAUUGAAACGGCUUCAUCCACUCUUAUAGAUAACCAUUCUUUUCUAAAUCAAUCACAGUUUUGUAUUAGGAACCAGCUUUUCUGUUUUCAAAAGGAACAAAGUAGUUCUUUAAAUGGUACUAUAGCACACGAUUAGAAGAAUCUUUCAUGUUUUGAGGUAUUGUCACGCUUCUUGGGCAGUCGAAUAUUGUACUUUGCAUUUCUUCAUGCAAAUUUUAGUGUUAUAAAGUAAAAUAAGUGUGCUAAUUUUCUAUCCCUUUCUUGAGUUUUAGAAGGAAAACCCUGUCAGAGGCCUUUUCUUUUCCAGAUUUGCAAGUCAGAAUGACUGUCAUGGGGGCCUAAUCUUUCACUUCCUGAUUGCCCAUCUGACAUCUUUAAUCUAAUCUAAAGCUAAAGUCUUAUUCAGGUGAUUAUUUAUGUAUAUUUUCCACAGGCAUGAAUUCUUUGUUGAAUUAGAGUUAAACUAAAGCUCGGUUAUGAUUUUUAGAAAGGAAGAAACUAAAACACAAUAUCAAAGUGCUGCUAAAAAAGUCUUUCCUUUUCUUAUCUGAAACAAUUUUAAAGCAUAGAAACUUUAUAGUGAUUUGCUCGUUUCUAAUCAAGUUAUUAGAUGCUCUGAAAAUUAGUUUCUACCAAGAUAAGAAUGGUAACCUGAGGGUUGAAGCUAUUAUCUCUACAUAGUAUCAAAAAUUAACAAUAACCAAAUGAAUUGAUGAGUAUACUCACAAACCAAAAAGAUUUUGCAUUUUUUCAUGCAAAUUUUAGUAUUAUAAAGUGAAAUAAUACUUAAUUUUUGAAUUUCUUUCACAUAGGAUAUACUAACACCACUGAUGAUAUUUUAUUGUGCAUUCAUACAGAGUAAUACAGUUAAGGCUACUAGUGUUCUGAUACCUUCUUGUCUGCCUGCUUUAUUCAUUAUCACCUGAAAAUUUAGGAAAAUACUUUGUCUCCCAGAGGCAACAAUCACAAACUGAAGGUUAGAGCAGUGGUUUUCAAACUUUAACUUACUUCAGAAUUACCUGGAAGAUUUGUCCAAGUGCAGAUUGGUGGGCCCCCAGAAUUUCUUACUCAGUAGGUCUGGAGUGGGUCAAGAAUUUGCAUUUCUAACAAAAUCUCAGAUCAUACUGAAGCUGCUGUUUGAGAUUCUAUGCUUUGAGAACCAAUUGGGUUACAGGGCUGCUGCAGGCUGCUCACUGUACAGUCAUUGUUCAGUGGUUCAGUGAACAAUGCUGAAAGUCUUUGGGGUUCCUUCUACCACUAUUGAUAUCUGGGGAGUAACUGCCAGUGUUGUUUCUGUGUUAUCUAAACUUAAACCUUUUGGUAGCUUUUGUGUCUGAGAAAUGGACUUAUAUAUUUUUCUUGGUAUGUCUUUUUGUACCUGACAUCUGUGUACCCAUGUCUAACUUUUCUGUGUUGUCCUGCAUUUAAAAGGAAAUUGUGGAUCAAACCAAACCAAUUCACUGAUGGUUAAGUCCAAAAGUGUAGGGAAAGCUACUCUGGAGUAUAGCUGUUGAGCUGGAAUAUUAAAUUGAGUGAUUCAUUAUAUAGCAUUAUCUUCUAUAAUAUCUAAUUAAAGGUUUACUGUUCCUCAAGUUACAUUUGUUGUAUGCAAAAAAUGUGGGAAAAAUACAAGCAAACAGUAUGUUUUGGUUCUGCAGCUACAACUGUGGAGAUAAUCGAUGGUGUUAAGUAAACUACCAGAAUAAAGGGGAUGUUCCGGGAAUUGUGUGUGUUAAUUGUCUCACAGUGGGGAAACUAAGAUCUAGAGAAUUCAAGUGAUUUGUCUAGGGUCACAAGCAGGAUUUGUUGUUCAGCUCUUGAAGUGGACACAAUAUAGUCCAAAAAUAUAUUGCCCUCUAAUCCUGUCACUGUGUAAAUUCCAUGAGCAUUCCUUACUGUCCUUAGAUUUAAAAGCAGAAAAUUCAGUUAAGUAUGAGAUAGUCAUAUUCUAUUUUUAUGAAAAAGGGUAACCAACUGUUAGUGAUUUCAAUAAAGCAAUUUCCAAAAUAAGAAAAUAGAUUCAUCCUACACUCUAUCACUUUUCUAUCUACAGUAUUACUUAUUAGGUGUGUGAUUUGGGGCAAGUCACUUAACCUUUCUACCUGUUUCUUCAUCUGUAAAAAUAGAGUUGAUAAUUGUAAAUCAGUUUAAUAUAUAUAAAGCACUUAGAAGAAUGCUUGGCUCAUAGUCAGUGCUCAUAAAUGUUAGUUGAUUUUAUUAUUUUUGCAGUGAUGAUCCUAAGGUAUAAGACAAGGUCUUAAUCAGAAAAAAUACUUAAAGGUUUGGGGUCAUUUUUUGUUAAAUGUGUCCUGUUGCAUUUCAAUUCUGAUUUUUCUCUGAUGAAUCUUAUGGUCUGGAACAUGUCACUUAACUUUUCCAUUCCACAGUCUCCUGUCACAGCAACAUUAUUUCUAUAAUUUAACAAAUUAUGCUUUUAUAUAGAUACAUGAAUAUAUAUUCAUAGGAAAAAAUUUCUAGAAGAAUACACCAAACCGUACCACCGGUUGCCUAAGGAGGGGAGACUUUGAAUUAUUGGAAAGUUAGAGUAGGAUUGUUGUGAGAUAAUAUUAGUUAGCAGAGAUUAUAUCUGGUUGGUGGCAUUACAGGUGGUUUUAAUUUUCUUUCUUGGGCAGCAUGUAUUAGUGAAUAAGAGCUUAUGUUCUGGAGUUAGAUCUAGGUUUAAUUUUUUUCUCUUCCACCUACUAGCUGUGUGACUGAUAAAAAUAGACCUAUCUUAAAAAAAAAACAAAAACAAAA
Molecule: small RNA, 6988 nt
Filed under: Pan troglodytes (chimpanzee)
Lineage: Eukaryota; Metazoa; Chordata; Mammalia; Primates; Hominidae
Description: retained intron
Source: RNAcentral